UACGGGGGGGGCAAGCGUUGUUCGGAAUUACUGGGCGUAAAGGGCUCGUAGGCGGCCAACUAAGUCAUACGUGAAAUCCCUCGGCUUAACCGGGGAACUGCGUCUGAUACUGGAUGGCUUGAGAUUGGGAGAGGGAUGCGGAAUUCCAGGUGUAGCGGUGAAAUGCGUAGAUAUCGGAAGGAACGCCGGUGGCGAAAGCGGUCUGCUGGACCCCUUCUGACGCUGAGGCGCGAAAGCCAGGGGAGCAAACGGG
Molecule: ribosomal RNA, 253 nt
Filed under: uncultured bacterium
Lineage: Bacteria
Description: partial 16S ribosomal RNA
Rfam family: Bacterial small subunit ribosomal RNA
Source: RNAcentral